GCCAGAGGACCUGGACAUUUUGUUAGGACACAUGGCAUCAUGGAUAUUAAAUGAAAACUUGACUGUCAUGGCACAAGGGUUGAGACGAAUGCAAGUGCAGUUAAAGCUUUUAUUAAAGAGAGGCAGGCAGACAAAUCCAAAAUUGAAGGGCAAUAUCAAGGUUACAAAACAGGCCCAAGGUCAGGCGAUCGGCAAACAGGCAAAACAGGGCUUAGACAAGAAUCACAAACGAGAACGAAAACAGGUGUUCCAUAGAGUUCAGUUCCCCUGUUUCCCCUUCAGCGCGCAUGUUGAAAUCAUGAUGUUUUCUGUUCCUGUUGCUGUGUUGAGUGGAUAGUGUGUGCUUGAUCAUCGUGUGUGUUAGUUUAUAGUGUUUUUUAUCUACUUUCCAUCAGCAUAAGAGUCUCUGUGCAACAGCUAAUGCAUCAAGUGCACUGCACAGUAAGUAGUCUGUGUUAUUAUUUUAGGAUACUCAUCUGACUCAUCGCGCUAGUACUUACUCCUGAGAAGUGCACUUAUGAAAGUAGCUUCAUUCAGCAAGUCUGAGAAAAGUGGUUCCCCCCUGUAUAUUACAGUGUGAGGAUUUAUAAAGCACUACAGUGAUGCAUGUGAUGUAUUUAAGUGUCAUCAUUAUGUAUAACAAGUUUCAUCCUUAGAUCAGUCUCUUACGCUGGGAACACAGGGACGGGGAAGACUGGGACAGAGCAUCUCCAAAACAGGGUGUUCCCGGUGUGCAGUAGUUGGUACCAACUGAAAGUGGUUCAAGGAAGGACAACCGUUGAACUGGUGACAAGGUCAUGGGUGCCCAAAGCUCAUUCAUGUAUGUGGGGAGCAAAGGCUAGCCUGUCUGGUCCAAUCCCACAGAAAAGUUAUACCAUUACACCUUAAUUUUGAUAGUGUUUUAUAGGCAGCUUUAAUGACAGACUCGAGUGAAUAAUUAAAAAGAUACAAUGAUAGUUAUUGAAUGUAAAUAGUCUGAUUAGCAAAGACCCUAACUAAAACACAGAAUACAAGCACUAAUAUUUAAUGGGUAUUUAAUUAUUUGUAAAUUAUAUUGAAAACAUUACACUGUUGUGAAGAUAUUUGAAAUUGUUUUGUAAAAGGUGUCAUUAUGUUGGGGCCUAGCUCUCAUUGCUUCUACACUGUUUUGACCAGCAGGUGUCGCCAGCGUGUGGUGUUCAUUUUGUGAAUCAUUUUUGUGAAGCAAUUGUUUCAAUUGAUUCGAAGCUUUGAAAAGCCUCGUUUCUUCCAUCACUACCUGAUACACUGUUGCUUG
This is a long non-coding RNA of Ictalurus punctatus (channel catfish), 1276 nucleotides long. The record is from Ensembl. Lineage: Eukaryota; Metazoa; Chordata; Actinopteri; Siluriformes; Ictaluridae.